CUGUCCUGCAGUCCAGCACAAGCCUUCGAUGGCCUUUAAUGACACAAUCAGCCGAUUUUAGUCAUCAGUUCAUCGCGAGUGUGUCACUGUCAGGGAAUGGAGUCAUUAAUGCAACAUGGAUGAAAUCAGCAGGACCGAGGGGCCAAAUGUCAAACGAAGAAAUUCAAUUGAAGGAAGGUGCAGCAAUCAUACAAGCUCAGUCAACCUGGAUCUGUGGGGAUGGACCUAGGAGGAAACUGGAGAUUGCAGCUGUUUCUCAAGAACACACAUAUUACUUUUUGCGUCAUGUACACCGGCUUCUAAUGAUAAAAGACACGCAAGAAUGAAAUGAAAUACAACCCAAAUCCAGUCCAACUUCUGAGGGGUCACCAUAGUCAUGGGCCAUAUGCAUGAAGAAUUUCCUGCUUCCUGGACAUGACUGGAUAUGAACGCUGGCCAACAGCCAAACACUAAUAUGCUUUUCUGGAACUAGUGUCUAUACCGACUAGCCAGUAUAGACAAGCCUAUGCCAAGUCAGUCAUUUUUAGUUAUGAUAUUACAGGGUUGAAAAUUACUCUGACAGAUGAAAUCAUGAAAUGACGUGACCCAGUGAUCAAAAGCUUGUUUGCUAGUCUGUCAGCCAAUCUUUACACUGAUGCAUGUUUACAUUAGUGACAGAGUGUCGGUGACUACAAAGCACAUAAAAAAGAACCGAGUCUCUUUCGACAUGACAAAUACUAAGUCCUUUUCUAUGUGUUCUGUGUGAGAUACUUCUUCUAUUUCAUCUGAUUUGGCCUAUGAUGAUAGUUUAGUUGAGUUUCCUCGAUAUUUGUUUAUUAGAAUUUAGGUUUUUGUUCUUCUAAUUCAGCUCCCUUCUUGAGUGUCCUUAUGUGGUUUGUUUUGUGCUUAAUGUGACUUAAUAACAAAGUAAUUCCUUAUUGGUUUAACAAAGCAAACCCCCUUAAACAUGCUGUGUGUGUGAGACAGGCAAAAAAUACCCCCAAAGUUUAAAAGAGCAUCAGUUAAGAGCAGGUGAAAAUUCCUAAAGACUCUUAUCUGGCUAUAAAAUGUAUUUAUAUCUGCCAAAGUUCCUGAAAAACAUUUGAAGAAAGGUUCAUUUUUAGUGUCUGUUUGCUGCAUGUGUUGUAUUUACUCAUUUACAGUGACUGAUAACAUACACACUAUUACUUUCCUGUUAUUAAUUUCACCGUCACACACAAAUCAGCACAUUGAUAAGGAGUGCAUUCAUGACUGUUAUUCUUGUUAGGUAGCAUUAUGUCAAGUAAGCUCUGUCUGAAAACGAGUUCUAAGAUUUCCCGGAGUUUAAUGAUUCAUUCAAAAACAACUCAUGCCAUGACUCAGGUGAUUUGAGUCACAUAGCAUGAAUGUUUCAGACUUUAAUCCCGGAUAGAAACUGAAUGUUGCAACAGAGGUCAGUUGAAAUUGGACAGGACAGCAGUUUCUAAUAGCCAGGUUUUAAACGUUUUAAAAGGACGUCGUUUCUUACAUGUAUGUACAUUUGCCAAACUAUUGUUGUGAGUCGCGGGGUUAGCUGGAUGUAUAAUCGUCAAAUCAUAAGCACAAGCUCACUGAAAAAAACUGACAUCUGUCAACAUCUGGCAAACCAAACUGCUCCUUCUUCUGCUCUACCGGGUAAGACGGUAACCGGAAAUGACGACAAUGAAGUUUUUUUUUUCAUUUUGACUACAGAAAUAGUUUUUAGCUGCGUAAAAUAGUUUUUUCGCAGAUUAAUACUGCCAACACAGUACAGCCAACACAAUACAGUUGAGUCAGUACUUCUGUAGUGGACUAUGAAACCUUUAUAAAGGUAGGGUUUAUUGUAGGAGUGUGGUAUUAAACAAGAUUAGUUUUAGUGGGGCGUACUUGUAUCCUGUAUUAAACUGCCAACAGAUUGUACAUAAAUAAUAUGUAAUUUAAAUAAUUCAUAAUUUAAAGCAUCAUUAUUAAUUAAUUUCAUGGCUUCAAAACGUAUUUACUUGUUUGCCCAUAAAUGCACUUGCUCUUGUUUUUAUGUUCUCAGUUUUGGUGUAAAAUUUAAAUUAUAUAAUUUAUUUCCCCCAGACAAUGCAAAUGCAGUCAAAUGUAUAAAUAUAUGUUAUACCCUCAAUUUUCUUCCUUCAAAUAACUAUUUAUAAUUCAAUAAACAUUUGUAUGC
Long non-coding RNA from Lates calcarifer (barramundi perch), 2155 nucleotides. RefSeq lists it as uncharacterized. Lineage: Eukaryota; Metazoa; Chordata; Actinopteri; Centropomidae. The record is from RefSeq and is a predicted model, not a curated record. The transcript is spliced from 3 exons.